AAGGAAACAGAACCUAGCUCACUAUCUCUUUGCUGUGUUGGUGCUAAUAGGAUUAAAAAUUAACAAACACUUUAACACCAUUUAGCAGAUAAAGGGAGAUCAUCUGUUGCACAAGAAGGUUCUACAGCUGUAGAACAGAAUGAGAAGGCAGUGAGACUGUUGCAACAGGAAAGAGGAUUUAGAUUUCU
This is a long non-coding RNA of Mauremys mutica (yellowpond turtle), 188 nucleotides long. RefSeq lists it as uncharacterized. NCBI's taxonomy places the organism in Eukaryota, Metazoa, Chordata, Testudines, Geoemydidae. The record is from RefSeq and is a predicted model, not a curated record. The transcript is spliced from 3 exons.